GGACUACCCGGGUAUCUAAUCCUGUUUGCUCCCCACGCUUUCGCGUCUCAGCGUCAGUUGCGUUCCAGAGAGCCGCCUUCGCCACGGGUGUUCUUCCUGAUAUCUGCGCAUUCCACCGCUACACCAGGAAUUCCACUCUCCUCUCCCGCACUCUAGCCACCCAGUUUCCCACGACCGCCUGCGGUUGAGCCGCAGGAUUUCACGCAGGACUUAAGUGGCCGCCUACACGCUCUUUACGCCCAAUGAUUCCGGACAACGCUCGGUCCCUACGUAUUACCGCGGCUGCUGGCAC
This 292-nucleotide ribosomal RNA is filed under the name uncultured bacterium. RNAcentral's name for it is "partial 16S ribosomal RNA". The record is from RNAcentral.